Octopus sinensis (East Asian common octopus) is the source of this 151-nucleotide long non-coding RNA. RefSeq lists it as uncharacterized. Lineage: Eukaryota; Metazoa; Mollusca; Cephalopoda; Octopoda; Octopodidae. The transcript has 3 exons. The record is from RefSeq and is a predicted model, not a curated record.
UUCAGACGUUUACUCUUCUGACCUAUGCUAUGUGCAAAACCAACUAUAUGACGCCCUAGGCAUAACACCAUCAGGAACUUCUAACUUAUUGUCUCUUGAGGUCUCUGGGUGAGACUUGGAGCCAACUUGUACAAAUACAAAAGCAAAAUUC